CAAUAGCGUAUAUUAAAGUUGUUGCAGUUAAAAAGCUCGUAGUUGGAUUUCCGGUGGGAGCACGGGUCGGCCCUCACGGGUUGUACUGUUGUUGCAUCCCGCCGUUUCGGAGGGAAUGGUCUCGCUAUUAAGUUAGCGUGAUCGGGAACUCUGUCGUUUACUGUGAAAAAAUUAGAGUGUUCAAAGCAGGCCUUCGCUGUGAAUACAUUAGCAUGGAAUAAUAAGAUAAGACUUGGGUCAUUAUUUUGUUGGUUUGCGGAUCGAGGUAAUGAUUAAUAGGGAUAGUGGGGGUAUUCGUAUUUAAUUGUCAGAGGUGAAAUUCUUGGAUUUAUGAAAGACGAACUUCUGCGAAAUGCAUUUACCAAAGUAUGUUUUCAUUAAUCAAGAACGAAAGUUAGGGGAUCGAAGACGAUUAGAUACCA
RNAcentral lists this ribosomal RNA (422 nucleotides) under uncultured eukaryote. Its description in RNAcentral is "bacterial SSU rRNA". It matches the Rfam family "Eukaryotic small subunit ribosomal RNA", at positions 592 to 1017 of the family's 1831-position model. The record is from RNAcentral.